GAUGAACGCUGGCGGCGUGCUUAACACAUGCCAGUCGAACGAUGAAGCCCAGCUCGCUGGGUGGAUUAGUGGCGAACGGGUGAGUAACACGUGCGUAACCUGCCUUUCACUAUGGGAUAAGCCUGUGAAACUGGGUGUAAUACCGGCCAGGAGAGUUCACCGACUGGAGGGUGUUGGAAAGAUUUAUCGGUUUUGGAUGGACUCGCGGCCUAUCAGCUUGUUGGUGAGGUAAUGGCUGACCAAGGCGACGCCGGGUAGCCGGCCUGAGAGGGUGACCAGCCACACUGGGACUGAGACACGGCCCAGACUCCUACGGGCGGCCGCGGUGGGGAAUAUUGCGCAAUGGGCGCAAGCCUGAUGCAGCGACGCCGCGUUAGGGAUGACGGCCUUCGGGUUGUAAACCUCUUUCAGUGGGGAAGAAGCGAAAGUGACGGUACCUGCAGAAGAAGCACCGGCUAACUACGUG
RNAcentral lists this ribosomal RNA (466 nucleotides) under uncultured bacterium. Its description in RNAcentral is "partial 16S ribosomal RNA". It matches the Rfam family "Bacterial small subunit ribosomal RNA", at positions 28 to 507 of the family's 1533-position model. The record is from RNAcentral.